GGACUACUCGGGUUUCUAAUCCUGUUCGCUCCCCUAGCUUUCGCGCCUCAGCGUCAGUUACCAGCCAGGACACUGCCUUCGCCUUUGGUAUUCCUCCGGAUAUCUACGCAUUUCACCACUCCACCCGGAAUUCUAUGUCCCUCUCUGGUCCUCAAGUUGAACAGUUUUUGAAGGCCUUGCUCAGUUAAGCCGAGCACUGUCACUCCAAACUUACCCAACCGCCUGCACGCCCUUUACGCCCAGUAACUCCGGACAACGCUCGCCCCCUACGUAUUACCGCGGCGGCUGGCAC
Molecule: ribosomal RNA, 292 nt
Filed under: uncultured bacterium
Lineage: Bacteria
Description: partial 16S ribosomal RNA
Source: RNAcentral